GGGUUGUAGCUCAGUGGUAGAGUGCUUGCCUUGCAAGUGUGAGGCCCUGGGUUCGAUCCUCAGCCCCA
This 68-nucleotide transfer RNA is filed under the name Ictidomys tridecemlineatus (thirteen-lined ground squirrel). RNAcentral's name for it is "Spermophilus tridecemlineatus (thirteen-lined ground squirrel) tRNA". It matches the Rfam family "tRNA". Rfam says of the family: Transfer RNA (tRNA) molecules are approximately 80 nucleotides in length. Their secondary structure includes four short double-helical elements and three loops (D, anti-codon, and T loops). Lineage: Eukaryota; Metazoa; Chordata; Mammalia; Rodentia; Sciuridae. The record is from Rfam by way of RNAcentral.